GUCGAUGGACAACGGGUUGAUAUUCCCGUACCCGUGUGUGGGCGCCCGUGACGAAUCAGCGGUACUAACCACCCAAAACCGGAUCGAUCACUCCCCUUCGGGGGUGUGGAGUUCUGGGGCUGCGUGGGAACUUCGCUGGUAGUAGUCAAGCGAAGGGGUGACGCAGGAAGGUAGCCGUACCAGUCAGUGGUAACACUGGGGCAAGCCGGUAGGGAGAGCGAUAGGCAAAUCCGUCGCUCACUAAUCCUGAGAGGUGACGCAUAGCCGGUUGAGGCGAAUUCGGUGAUCCUCUGCUGCCAAGAAAAGCCUCUAGCGAGCACACACACGGCCCGUACCCCAAACCGACACAGGUGGUCAGGUAGAGCAUACCAAGGCGUACGAGAUAACUAUGGUUAAGGAACUCGGCAAAAUGCCCCCGUAACUUCGGGAGAAGGGGGACCGGAAUAUCGUGAACACCCUUGCGGUGGGAGCGGGAUCCGGUCGCAGAAACCAGUGAGGAGCGACUGUUUACUAAAAACACAGGUCCGUGCGAAGUCGCAAGACGAUGUAUACGGACUGACGCCUGCCCGGUGCUGGAAGGUUAAGAGGACCCGUUAACCCGCAAGGGUGAAGCGGAGAAUUUAAGCCCCAGUAAACGGCGGUGGUAACUAUAACCAUCCUAAGGUAGCGAAAUUCCUUGUCGGGUAAGUUCCGACCUGCACGAAUGGCGUAACGACUUCUCAACUGUCUCAACCAUAGACUCGGCGAAAUUGCACUACGAGUAAAGAUGCUCGUUACGCGCGGCAGGACGAAAAGACCCCGGGACCUUCACUACAACUUGGUAUUGAUGUUCGGUACGGUUUGUGUAGGAUAGGUGGGAGACUGUGAAACCUCGACGCCAGUUGGGGCGGAGUCAUUGUUGAAAUACCACUCUGAUCGUAUUGGGCAUCUAACCUCGAACCCUGAAUCGGGUUUAGGGACAGUGCCUGGCGGGUAGUUUAACUGGGGCGGUUGCCUCCUAAAAUGUAACGGAGGCGCCCAAAGGUUCCCUCAACCUGGACGGCAAUCAGGUGGCGAGUGUAAAUGCACAAGGGAGCUUGACUGCGAGACUUACAAGUCAAGCAGGGACGAAAGUCGGGAUUAGUGAUCCGGCACCCCCGAGUGGAAGGGGUGUCGCUCAACGGAUAAAAGGUACCCCGGGGAUAACAGGCUGAUCUUCCCCAAGAGUCCAUAUCGACGGGAUGGUUUGGCACCUCGAUGUCGGCUCGUCGCAUCCUGGGGCUGGAGCAGGUCCCAAGGGUUGGGCUGUUCGCCCAUUAAAGCGGCACGCGAGCUGGGUUUAGAACGUCGUGAGACAGUUCGGUCUCUAUCCGCCGCGCGCGUCAGAAACUUGAGGAAACCUGUCCCUAGUACGAGAGGACCGGGACGGACGAACCUCUGGUGCACCAGUUGUCCCGCCAGGGGCACCGCUGGAUAGCCACGUUCGGUCAGGAUAACCGCUGAAAGCAUCUAAGCGGGAAACCUUCUCCAAGAUCAGGUUUCUCACCCACUUGGUGGGAUAAGGCCCCCCGCAGAACACGGGUUCAAUAGGUCAGACCUGGAAGCUCAGUAAUGGGUGUAGGGAACUGGUGCUAACCGGCCGAAAACUUACAACACCC
This 1637-nucleotide ribosomal RNA is filed under the name Mycobacterium tuberculosis. Its description in RNAcentral is "bacterial LSU rRNA". It matches the Rfam family "Bacterial large subunit ribosomal RNA", at positions 1414 to 2925 of the family's 2925-position model. The record is from RNAcentral. Lineage: Bacteria; Bacillati; Actinomycetota; Actinomycetes; Mycobacteriales; Mycobacteriaceae.